RNAcentral lists this long non-coding RNA (954 nucleotides) under Mus musculus (house mouse). RNAcentral's name for it is "Hand2, opposite strand 1". The record is from RNAcentral. Lineage: Eukaryota; Metazoa; Chordata; Mammalia; Rodentia; Muridae.
GCCGAGGUCCUCUUCUAGGAUUGGUUGUCCACUCAUAACCAUAAGAUAAUUAAAACGGGGGGGGGCAGGGUAAAAAAAAAACCCUUUUAUCAGCCAUAGGUUAAUGCAAGUGUUUAACAGAUGCUUCGCUAUUAAAAUAUUUCCCCCCAAUACUGAAGAAUCUUAAACCAGGCUAGAGCGCCAGCGCUCCUCUGACCCGGCACACUUUGGCAAAGUUGCAGUGGCCUGUUUGCUUAGGCACUGAAGUGGAUGACCCAAGUUAGGAUGACAACUUGCAGAGAACGCGGAUGAGACCUUCAGUUUGUGCCCACACUCAUUUGCAGCAACCCUAACAGAGAUUGCGAAGAUUUUCAAAGUGGGGCACCUCGAUUUCUCGAAUCUGUGGUGUGGCGAAUAUCCGUGUUCCUCCUGCUUAACUAGCCUGUUUGAAGGCACAGUUCAUUCUCGAGCAAUUCGUCACCUCCUGGGGGUCUUCUCUUCCCGUCUACAGGAGAGUGUGACUUCAGAAAGAACUUCGGAUUGGCCAAGGUCUGAUUCUAUUUAUUCUAAAGACAGAGUUGGAGAUGGGCUACCAUUGGUGUUGAUUGAGAUGACAAGCAGUCACCUGAGCCCAUACAGCUGGGUUCACAGAUGUGGCUAGUCUUGCUAGCCAGCUCGCACUGUGGACAUUCUAGGGAACUGACUGCAGUCCUCAUGCUUGGAGUCAAACACUUUAACCACUGCACACGUUUAUGUAAUAGGAUUGACAUAUGAGAAUCAGAGAAAUGAAUGAAAGAUUAGAGUGGGAGAAAGUGCUUGCUGCCAAGCUUGAUGACCUAAAUUGAAUACCUGGAACCUACACGACAGAAAGAGAGAGCUGACUGCUGAAAGAUGUCCUCAGAUCUUCACAUGUGCACAGUGGCACCUAUCCAACCAUGCACAUAGUAUAUUAAAAAUUAUUUUUUAAAAAAUCCA